This is an intron RNA of Spizellomyces punctatus DAOM BR117, 359 nucleotides long. It matches the Rfam family "Group I catalytic intron". Rfam says of the family: Group I catalytic introns are large self-splicing ribozymes. They catalyse their own excision from mRNA, tRNA and rRNA precursors in a wide range of organisms. The core secondary structure consists of 9 paired regions (P1-P9). NCBI's taxonomy places the organism in Eukaryota, Fungi, Chytridiomycota, Chytridiomycetes, Spizellomycetales, Spizellomycetaceae. The record is from Rfam.
UAAUCGAACCAUCAGCUCAACGGUGGUUAACAGGGACGAAAAGUACGAUCCCUAGUCCGGUGAAGGCGGGCAAGACUGUCAAAUUGCUGGGACACCCUAAAGGCGCUGGUACUAACUUGGCUUGGAAACGAGCUGAGGGUCGAGUAACUUGCUCGAGAGUGACAAUCCAGCGUAUGAUAGGUGCCUUUCAAGUACCUUGAAAUGGGCAAUCAGCAGCCAAGCUCUAAGUUAUUCUGGUCUGUUUGCAGGGCAGAAUGAUAGGAGUGCAGUUCAGAGACUAGAUGUCAGUCGGUACUCCAGGGCAAUUAAUUAUGCAUGGAGUGCUUAAGGUAUAGUCCAAUCCCAGUUGAAAGACUGGC